GAGUUUGAUCGUGGCUCAGGAUGAACGCUAGCUACAGGCUUAACACAUGCAAGUCGAGGGGCAGCAUGGACCCAGCUUUGCUGGGUUUGAUGGCGACCGGCGCACGGGUGAGUAACGCGUAUCCAACCUGCCCUUUACUCCGGGAUAGUCUCCUGAAAGGGAGUUUAAUACCGGAUGUGUUUGUCUUUCCGCAUGGGAGCGACAAAUAAAGAUUAAUUGGUAAAGGAUGGGGAUGCGUCCCAUUAGCUUGUUGGCGGGGUAACGGCCCACCAAGGCGACGAUGGGUAGGGUUCUGAGAGGAAGGUCCCCCAAUUGGAACUGAGACACGGUCCAAACUCCUACGGGAGCAGCAGUGAGGAAUAUUGGUCAAGUGGGCGGAGCCUGAACCAGCCAAGUAGCGUGAAGGACGACGG
Molecule: ribosomal RNA, 413 nt
Filed under: uncultured bacterium
Lineage: Bacteria
Description: bacterial SSU rRNA
Rfam family: Bacterial small subunit ribosomal RNA
Source: RNAcentral